Molecule: ribosomal RNA, 752 nt
Filed under: bacterium enrichment culture
Lineage: Bacteria
Description: bacterial SSU rRNA
Rfam family: Bacterial small subunit ribosomal RNA
Source: RNAcentral
UGGCUCAGAUUGAACGCUGGCGGAAUGCUUUACACAUGCAAGUCGAACGGCAGCACGGGGGCAACCCUGGUGGCGAGUGGCGAACGGGUGAGUAACACAUCGGAACGUGCCCAAUCGUGGGGGAUAACGUAGCGAAAGCUACGCUAAUACCGCAUACGAUCUACGGAUGAAAGCGGGGGAUCGCAAGACCUCGCGCGAAUGGAGCGGCCGAUGGCAGAUUAGGUAGUUGGUGGGGUAAAGGCUCACCAAGCCAACGAUCUGUAGCUGGUCUGAGAGGACGACCAGCCACACUGGGACUGAGACACGGCCCAGACUCCUACGGGAGGCAGCAGUGGGGAAUUUUGGACAAUGGGCGCAAGCCUGAUCCAGCCAUUCCGCGUGCAGGAUGAAGGCCUUCGGGUUGUAAACUGCUUUUGGACGGAACGAAAAGCCAUUUUCUAAUACAAGAUGGUCAUGACGGUACCGUCAGAAUAAGCACCGGCUAACUACGUGCCAGCAGCCGCGGUAAUACGUAGGGUGCAAGCGUUAAUCGGAAUUACUGGGCGUAAAGCGUGCGCAGGCGGUUAUGUAAGACAGUUGUGAAAUCCUCGGGCUCAACCUGGGAACUGCAUCUGUGACUGCAUAGCUAGAGUACGGUAGAGGGGGAUGGAAUUCCGCGUGUAGCAGUGAAAUGCGUAGAUAUGCGGAGGAACACCGAUGGCGAANGCAAUCCCCUGGACCUGUACUGACGCUCAUGCACGAAAGCGUGGGGA